GUAUUGGCCUACCGUGGCAAUGACGGGUAACGGGGAAUUAGGGUUCGAUUCCGGAGAGGGAGCCUGAGAAACGGCUACCACAUCUAAGGAAGGCAGCAGGCGCGCAAAUUACCCAAUCCUAAUACAGGGAGGUAGUGACAAGAAAUAACAAUACAGGACUUUUUGGUUUUGUAAUUGGAAUGAGUUAAGUAUAAACCCCUUUACAAGUAUCAAUUGGAGGGCAAGUCUGGUGCCAGCAGCCGCGGUAAUUCCAGCUCCAAUAGCGUAUAUUAAAGUUGUUGCAGUUAAAAAGCUCGUAGUUGGAUUUCUGUUAAUAAUUUAUAUAAAAUACUUAGGUGUUUAUAUAAUAUUAACAUAAUUCAUAUUACUAUAUUUUUUUAGUAUAUGAAAUUUUACUUUGAGAAAAUUAGAGUGCUUAAAGCAGGCGUUAGCCUUGAAUACUCCAGCAUGGAAUAAUAUUAAAGAUUUUUAUCUUUCUUAUUGGUUCUAAGAUAAGAAUAAUGAUUAAUAGGGACAGUUGGGGGCAUUUGUAUUUAA
RNAcentral lists this ribosomal RNA (537 nucleotides) under Cryptosporidium fayeri. Its description in RNAcentral is "SSU rRNA". It matches the Rfam family "Eukaryotic small subunit ribosomal RNA", at positions 333 to 901 of the family's 1831-position model. Lineage: Eukaryota; Apicomplexa; Conoidasida; Eucoccidiorida; Cryptosporidiidae. The record is from RNAcentral.